RNAcentral lists this ribosomal RNA (440 nucleotides) under uncultured bacterium. RNAcentral describes it as "partial 16S ribosomal RNA". It matches the Rfam family "Bacterial small subunit ribosomal RNA", at positions 338 to 795 of the family's 1533-position model. The record is from RNAcentral.
CCUACGGGUGGCUGCAGUAGGGAAUAUUGCUCAAUGGGGGAAACCCUGAAGCAGCAACGCCGCGUGGAGGAUGAAGGCUUUCGGAUUGUAAACUUCUUUUGUUAGAGAAGAUAAUGACGGUAUCUAACGAAUAAGCACUGGCUAACUACGUGCCAGCAGCCGCGGUCAUACGGAGGGUGCAAGGGUUACUCGGAAUCACUGGGCGUAAAGGGCGCGUAGGCGGGUUAGCAAGUCAGAUGUGAAAUCCUAGGGCUUAACCAUAGAACUACAUUUGAAACUGGUAUUCUAGAGUAUGGGAGAGGUAGGUAGAAUUCUUGGUGUAGGGGUAAAAUCCGUAGAGAUCAAGAGGAAUACUGAUUGCGAAGGCAACCUGCUAGAACAUAACUGACGCUGAUGCGCGAAAGCGUGGGGAGCAAACAGGAUUAGAUACCCGAGUAGUC